This 879-nucleotide ribosomal RNA is filed under the name uncultured archaeon. RNAcentral's name for it is "bacterial SSU rRNA". It matches the Rfam family "Archaeal small subunit ribosomal RNA", at positions 464 to 1336 of the family's 1478-position model. The record is from RNAcentral.
AGCGGUGAAAAACCAGCUCUUGGAAGUGGUGAUCAUGAUUAUUUGGCUUAAAGUGAUGCGUAGCAGGACAGCGUAAGUACCCCUGUGGAAAAUGCUAGGUCUUAAGCUUAGCUCGUGCAGGGGAUACUGCGCGUCUUGGGACCGGGAUAGGUGUAAUGUACGCGACGGUAGGGGUGAAAUCCGAUAAUCCAUCGCGGACAACCGGUGGCGAAGGCGUUACACUGGAACGGGUCCGACUGUGAGGCACGAAAGCUAGGGUCGCGAGCCGGAUUAGAUACCCGGGUAGUCCUAUGCUGUAAACGAUGCUCAUUAAGUGUUAGGUAACGCAAGACGUUAUCUAGUGCCGAAGCGAAAGCGUUAAAUGAGCCGCCUGGGAAGUACGUUCGCAAGAAUGAAACUUAAAGGAAUUGGCGGGGCCUACUACAAGAAGUGGAGCCUGCGGUUUAAUUGGACUCAACUCCGGGAAACUCACCUGGGCCGUAACGUGGAUGAUUGUCCUGCUGAAGACACUGCUUGAUGCGUUACUGGAGGUGCAUGGCCAUCGUCAGUUCGUGCCGUGAGGUGUCCUGUUAAGUCAGGCAACGAACGAGAUCCCUACCGCUAAUUGCCAGCGAGACCUACUAGGUCGUCGGGGACAUUAGCGGGACUGCUCGCGCAAAAGUGAGAGGAAGGAAGGGCCAACGGUAGGUCAGUAUGCCCCGAUAUGCCCAGGGCUACACGCGGGCUACAAUGGCUGGUACAAAGGGUUCCAACACCGAAAGGUGACGGCAAUCUCCAAAACCAGUCUCAGUUGGGAUUGUGGGCUGCAACUCGCCCACAUGAACUUGGAAUUUCUAGUAAGUGCGCGUCAACACCGCGCGCUGAAUACGUCCCUGGGCC